RNAcentral lists this ribosomal RNA (253 nucleotides) under uncultured bacterium. Its description in RNAcentral is "partial 16S ribosomal RNA". It matches the Rfam family "Bacterial small subunit ribosomal RNA", at positions 524 to 776 of the family's 1533-position model. The record is from RNAcentral.
UACGUAGGGGGCAAGCGUUAUCCGGAUUUACUGGGUGUAAAGGGGGCGCAGACGGCAGCGCAAGCCAGGAGUGAAAGCCCGGGGCUCAACCCCGGGCAUGCAUUGGAAACUGGCGGGCUGGAGUGCCGGAGAGGUAAGCGGAAUUCCUAGUGUAGCGGUGAAAUGCGUAGAUAUUAGGAGGAACACCAGUGGCGAAGGCGGCUUACUGGACGGCAACUGACGCUGAGGCUCGAAAGCGUGGGGAGCAAACAGG